GACGAACGCUGGCGGCGUGCUUAACACAUGCAAGUCGAACGGAAAGGCCCUGCUUUUGUGGGGUGCUCGAGUGGCGAACGGGUGAGUAACACGUGAGUAACCUGCCCUUGACUUUGGGAUAACUUCAGGAAACUGGGGCUAAUACCGGAUAGGAGCUCCUGCUGCAUGGUGGGGGUUGGUAAGUUUCGGCGGUUGGGGAUGGACUCGCGGCUUAUCAGCUUGUUGGUGGGGUAGUGGCUUACCAAGGCUUUGACGGGUAGCCGGCCUGAGAGGGUGACCGGCCACAUUGGGACUGAGAUACGGCCCAGACUCCUACGGGAGGCAGCGGUGGGGAAUAUUGCACAAUGGGCGGAAGCCUGAUGCAGCAACGCCGCGUGCGGGAUGACGGCCUUCGGGUUGUAAACCGCUUUCGCCUGUGACGAAGCGUGAGUGACGGUAAUGGGUAAAGAAGCACCGGCUAACUACGUG
This 468-nucleotide ribosomal RNA is filed under the name uncultured bacterium. RNAcentral describes it as "partial 16S ribosomal RNA". It matches the Rfam family "Bacterial small subunit ribosomal RNA", at positions 28 to 507 of the family's 1533-position model. The record is from RNAcentral.